GGAUGGGCGUGAGAACUGGGAUGACAUCUGUCACCCCAUGGAUUCCUGGGGUUGAUUCGGCUGAUCUGGCUGGCUAGACAGAUGUCUCCUUCCUCCUUCAGUGCUCCAUGUGUGUCCCUCCCCAAGCUGCGCACUCAACGAGGAAGAUCUUCCCUGAUAGAGGAGGACUGUUCUUUGGUCAAGGGUUUACAAGUAGCUGUGCCCACCAGCUAGAACCUCUGAACAGGCUCCAAGGAAAAGUGGAGGACAAGUGUAGGAGUCAGGAGCCCAGUCAAGAGUCCACUGUAGGCAGGCAGGCCAGACCU
Unclassified non-coding RNA from Otolemur garnettii (small-eared galago), 305 nucleotides. Its record names the gene 7SK. It matches the Rfam family "7SK RNA". Rfam says of the family: 7SK was discovered as an abundant small nuclear RNA in the mid-70s but a possible function has only recently been suggested. Two independent studies have found that 7SK RNA binds the CDK9/cyclin T complex (known as elongation factor P-TEFb). The record is from Ensembl. NCBI's taxonomy places the organism in Eukaryota, Metazoa, Chordata, Mammalia, Primates, Galagidae.